GGGCCAGAGCUGUGCCGUGGGGUGCGCGUUGCUGCUGUGUGGUGGGAGAGCAGGAAGGAGGAGGCAAACCCAGCCUGGACAAGGGGAGGAUGCAGACAAGGUCUCGGGAUCAGCUGGCUGAGACGUGUCCACGGGGAGUUACAGGCAGUCCUGAGAGCCUUCAGGUGGCUGCUGGGGAGAGGUGCCCGCCAGCCAGGGUGACGGGCCAGUCGGGCACGGGUGACAGCUCUGGGCCGAGCGGUGUCUCCAGGAGGGACGCGAGGGGCCGGCGGCGCUGCGUGGUGAUGGAGGAAGCGCCAUGUGCACCACCCUCCUGCUCCUCGGCACCCUGGUCAUGAUGCUGCGGCGCCGCUUCUGCAACAAAGUCGAACCGCGUCCCGAGGGAGAAGAAGAGACCAGGAGAGAGGCUGGCUCUGACCCUCGCACCACGUAACACCGCUUCGGAGCAAAACCCAG
RNAcentral lists this long non-coding RNA (456 nucleotides) under Athene cunicularia (burrowing owl). Its description in RNAcentral is "lncRNA (ENSACUG00000000292.1)". Lineage: Eukaryota; Metazoa; Chordata; Aves; Strigiformes; Strigidae. The record is from RNAcentral.